Molecule: ribosomal RNA, 253 nt
Filed under: uncultured bacterium
Lineage: Bacteria
Description: partial 16S ribosomal RNA
Rfam family: Bacterial small subunit ribosomal RNA
Source: RNAcentral
UACGUAGGGUGCAAGCGUUGUCCGGAAUUAUUGGGCGUAAAGAGCUCGUAGGCGGUCUGUCGCGUCUGCUGUGAAAACUCAGGGCUUAACCCUGAGCUUGCAGUGGGUACGGGCAGACUAGAGUGCGGUAGGGGAGAGUGGAAUUCCUGGUGUAGCGGUGAAAUGCGCAGAUAUCAGGAAGAACACCCGUGGCGAAAGCGGCUCUCUGGAACGGUACUGACGCUGAGGCACGAAAGCGUGGGGAGCAAACAGG